GUGAUCACCUCGGCAGCACAUAUAUUAAAACUGGAACGAUACAGAAAAGAUUAGCUUGGGCCCUGCACAAGAAUGGCAUGCA
This 82-nucleotide small nuclear RNA is filed under the name Sus scrofa (pig). The record is from RNAcentral. Lineage: Eukaryota; Metazoa; Chordata; Mammalia; Artiodactyla; Suidae.